AUUUUAGUAAGCGGAGGAAAAGAAACUAACCAGGAUUCCCUUAGUAUCGGCGAGUGAACAGGGAAAAGCCCAGAACCGAAUCCUCUGGUGUGACGCCAGUAGGAAAUGUGGUGUUUGGGUGGUUUCUUGCUGUGCAUUGAGUGAUUCUAAGUCCACGUGAUUGUGGCGCUGCCAGAG
This 177-nucleotide ribosomal RNA is filed under the name uncultured eukaryote. RNAcentral's name for it is "partial large subunit ribosomal RNA". It matches the Rfam family "Archaeal large subunit ribosomal RNA", at positions 181 to 357 of the family's 2987-position model. The record is from RNAcentral.